This is a long non-coding RNA of Helicoverpa armigera (cotton bollworm), 1773 nucleotides long. RefSeq lists it as uncharacterized. The record is from RefSeq and is a predicted model, not a curated record. Lineage: Eukaryota; Metazoa; Arthropoda; Insecta; Lepidoptera; Noctuidae. The transcript is spliced from 3 exons.
CAACAAGCAAAGUAAUCCUAUAAGAAAAAUUAUAAGUCUAUUACUACUUAUAACGUUCUUGUUAUGGUAUUGCGGUAGACUCUAUGACUUAUAACAGCAUUUGCCAAGCCUAAACAUACUCAAGCGCAUUAGAUUUUAUAUCUCGGUCUUAUAGUCCGCUACAAGACUGACCUCUAAAACAUUUAUAAGACACUUUUACUAGUAGCAGCAUUUCACAAGCAUAGAUAUGCUCAAGAGUAAUUGUUUUUAUAUAUCAGUCUUAUAGUUAACUACAAGAUUAUCUUUUAGGACACUUAUAGGACUAAACAAUCCUGAAUAAUAUUUUGAUCCUAUACUAGCAUUUUGUGAGAGAAAACGAUAUUAUAACAUCCUUAGCUGAGACCACUACAAGUUUGUGCCGUCAUAGUCUUGCUCAAGACUUUUAUUAGCCUUAGAACUUAAUAAGAGCGCUAUAAGUUAAAAAACUUAUAAACUUGUAGAUCAAACACUUUAUUAGUAAACGUCAGCCAUUUUGUAACAUUCAGUUGUACCCGUCCAUUGUGAGAAUUCAGUUUAAUAUGAACUUAAAUGAUUGGAAACGAUUGAAAAGAAGUGGUGGUUACAGGAGAAAGGUAAAAAAUAGGUAUAAAGAAUUAAUUAUGUCAGGGUCUUCAGAAAUAAAAUCAAGUGCGUUAGGCGGAAUAAUUGAGGGUUCCGUGAGCAGAAAUAUUUUUCCACGUCUUCCCCACGACUCAGAAAGUGAAGAAGUUCAGAACAGCGAAGAAGAAUAUAUCGAAGAGACCACUGACUAUGACAAUAAUCAUGAAUUUCUGAAAGACAUGCAAAGCUGGGCUAUAAAAUUUAAUAUACCUCACCUGGCCCUAAACGAACUCUUUACUUUUUUGAACAAAAGAUUAGGUAAUGUUUUACCCAAAGAUGCUCGUACUUUACUUCAUACAAACAAAGAAACGGUGCAUAUUACAACCUCAGAUCCAGGACAGUAUUGGCAUAACGGAUUGAUUAAAUGCCUAAAAAAUACACUGCAGGGGCUGGAUUUGAAUACUUUACGAAAUACGAUUUCGUUAAAUGUAAACAUAGAUGGGUUGCCUGUAUACAAAAGUUCAAGACAUCAACUCUGGCCUAUUUUGUGUAACAUCUUUGAAAUUCCCCACAUACCUCCCUUUGUGAUUGGAAUUUAUGCGGGUGAAGGAAAACCAUCUGAUCUAAAUGCUUAUUUAGAGUCUUUUGUGAAAGAAAUGAACGAACUUGAAGAAUAUGGAUUAGAUACAUCGUUGGCGCCAAAUGAAUCUAAAAUCAAAGUCAAAUUAAGAGCCUUCAUUUGUGAUUCACCAGCAAGAGCCUUGAUUAAAGGUGUCACAAAUUUUAAUGGAAAGCAUGGCUGUCUGAAAUGUACGGUGAUUGGCGAAUACUCACAUAAAUCAAAUACUGUAACAUUUCCUAAGUCCAAUUGUCCUAAAAGAAACGAUAAAGAUUUUCGUGCUAAAAAUAUGAAGAACACCAUAAGCAUGAUUCUCCGUUAUUGAAACUAAACAUAGAUAUGAUAGAGGAUUUUCCUGUGGCAGACUCAUUACACCUAAUAGACCUUGGCUUGAUGAAGCGGUUGUUGAUUGGAUGGCGUGACGGAAAGUUGGGAAAAUACCUAACCAAAUGGAGUGCUCGUGAAAUUGAUAUUGUCAAUAGCUUUUUACUGAAUUGUCAAAUGCCCAAAGAAAUUCACAGAUCAAUGAGAUCUGUAGAUGUUUUGGCCCAUUGGAAAGGUUCCGAAUACCGCUC